Molecule: transfer RNA, 70 nt
Filed under: Dipodomys ordii (Ord's kangaroo rat)
Lineage: Eukaryota; Metazoa; Chordata; Mammalia; Rodentia; Heteromyidae
Rfam family: tRNA
About the family: Transfer RNA (tRNA) molecules are approximately 80 nucleotides in length. Their secondary structure includes four short double-helical elements and three loops (D, anti-codon, and T loops). Further hydrogen bonds mediate the characteristic L-shaped molecular structure. tRNAs have two regions of fundamental functional importance: the anti-codon, which is responsible for specific mRNA codon recognition, and the 3' end, to which the tRNAs corresponding amino acid is attached (by aminoacyl-tRNA synthetases). tRNAs cope with the degeneracy of the genetic code in two manners: having more than one tRNA (with a specific anti-codon) for a particular amino acid; and 'wobble' base-pairing, i.e. permitting non-standard base-pairing at the 3rd anti-codon position.
Source: Rfam by way of RNAcentral
GGAAAUGUGGCUUAUUAGUAGAGUGCUUGCCUAGCAUGCAUGAAGCUCUAGGUUCGAUUCCUUAGUACCA